RNAcentral lists this long non-coding RNA (654 nucleotides) under Medicago truncatula (barrel medic). RNAcentral's name for it is "long non-coding RNA (MTRU_LNC007669)". The record is from RNAcentral. Lineage: Eukaryota; Viridiplantae; Streptophyta; Magnoliopsida; Fabales; Fabaceae.
UGAAAAGAGGAAGAAUGGGUUUGAAGAAGAAUGGUUCACGCCUCCAAGAAUACUUUCCUCCUACUGCAACACAAAAAACCAUGAUCUAAUAACAAAUAUCCAUAUUCAAAUUCAAAUCCCUAACAAUUCCUCCGCCGCCGCGAAUUCUUCGACCGCCGGUGGUUCCGCUUCUGCUCCCGCGGCGGAGCAGCUUAAGGGGAAGGAGAGUGAGUGGGAGAAUAUGGAAGCUAUGUGUUAGGAAACAUGGCAUCUAUGGAAGGAAGGAGAUAAAUCUAACAAACUCUUUAUAUUGAUAGAAAUGGAAUAUUACAAAAUGAGAAAAAGUUAUCCCACUAAUGGGGUUAUUACAAGUAUAUAUACUACUACAAACUAGUAUCUCUAAUAGUCCCCCUCAAGUUGGAAGGUGUUCAAAAACACUUCCAACUUGAAAUGAGAAAAUACAAGGAAAGAUGCCGGAAACACAUCGGCUAAAAAAAUAUAGUCAUCAAACAAGAGCUUAUCCAACAAGAAGCAACCACAACUCAAGGUUGAACCAAUUGAAGGAAGGAGCAUCAAAGCAACGCUUAACCACCAUCCGGUAGAAGCCAAUAUCCACAAAGCCAUAAAAGGCACAACGCUUAACCAUCAAGAGUUUUCCAUAACUCAAGACAGAAG